Long non-coding RNA from Cucumis melo (muskmelon), 630 nucleotides. RefSeq lists it as uncharacterized. NCBI's taxonomy places the organism in Eukaryota, Viridiplantae, Streptophyta, Magnoliopsida, Cucurbitales, Cucurbitaceae. The transcript has 2 exons. The record is from RefSeq and is a predicted model, not a curated record.
AAUUUGAGAAAUAAAUGUAUGGAAUUUUGAACGUUUUAAUUUCUAUUCAACAUUUAUCUUAAUUAAUUAUAAAAUCAUAAUUAUGCCUAAACAAGAUAAAUAAUAAAUUGCAUUGAGAUUAGGAAAUUUUUAUUGAAUGUGAGAUGUCGUAGGUUAUGUGUUGGGAUACAUAAUUUUGUAUAUAUAAGAUGAUGUACAAUAAGUUUAUUUCAUCAUAAUAUCAAAAGUUCAACGUAAUAUCAAAAAGUUCAAAUGGCGUGUUCUAUUAAAUCUCGUUCUUACCCACCUUGUAUUAGUUGUGGUUGCAUGGAUGCUUCAUGUUGCAACGGAGGUAAGUUUAAGUGGCCUGAAGUGGUAGGUAUGAAGGGACAACAAGCUAAAAGUAAGAUUGAAAAAGAUGUAUCUUUUGUGACUGUUAUACUUUUAGCACCUGGAACAAUUAGAAUUGACAAUUUCUGUUGCAAUCGUGUUUUUGUUUACCUCGAUGAUAAUGGAAAAGUCAAUCAAAUCCCAAUCAUUGGUUGACUUUAUGAGGUCCAUUAUGUUACGUUAUGUUUAAUUACCACAUGAUCAUAUCUUCUUGUACUGAUCAAGUUAAAUCUUCAAUAAAAUUCAAAUUCUAAAGCUUAA